UCUUGGGUUGUAACCCCUUUUCUCAGGGAAGAAGAACUGACGGUACCUGAGGAAUAAGCAUCGGCUAACUCCGUGCCAGCAGCCGCGGUAAGACGGAGGAUGCAAGCGUUAUCCGGAAUUAUUGGGCGUAAAGCGUUCGUAGGUGGCUGUUCAAGUCUGCCGUUAAAGACCGGGGCUUAACUCCGGAAAAACUGUGGAAACUGAACAGCUAGAGUAUGGUAGGGGUAAGGGGAAUUCCUGGUGUAGCGGUGAAAUGCGUAGAUAUCAGGAAGAACACCGGUGGCAAAGGCGCCUUACUGGGCCAUAACUGACACUGAGGGACGAAAGCUAGGGGAGCGAAAGGGAUUA
Molecule: ribosomal RNA, 348 nt
Filed under: uncultured cyanobacterium
Lineage: Bacteria; Bacillati; Cyanobacteriota
Description: bacterial SSU rRNA
Rfam family: Bacterial small subunit ribosomal RNA
Source: RNAcentral